This 468-nucleotide ribosomal RNA is filed under the name uncultured bacterium. RNAcentral describes it as "partial 16S ribosomal RNA". It matches the Rfam family "Bacterial small subunit ribosomal RNA", at positions 28 to 507 of the family's 1533-position model. The record is from RNAcentral.
GACGAACGCUGGCGGCGUGCUUAACACAUGCAAGUCGAACGGAAAGGCCCUGCUUUUGUGGGGUGCUCGAGUGGCGAACGGGUGAGUAACACGUGAGUAACCUGCCCUUGACUUUGGGAUAACUUCAGGAAACUGGGGCUAAUACCGGAUAGGAGCUCCUGCUGCAUGGUGGGGGUUGGAAAGUUUCGGCGGUUGGGGAUGGACUCGCGGCUUAUCAGCUUGUUGGUGGGGUAGUGGCUUACCAAGGCUUUGACGGGUAGCCGGCCUGAGAGGGUGACCGGCCACAUUGGGACUGAGAUACGGCCCAGACUCCUACGGGAGGCAGCAGUGGGGAAUAUUGCACAAUGGGCGGAAGCCUGUUGCAGCAACGCCGCGUGCGGGAUGACGGCCUUCGGGUUGUAAACCGCUUUCGCCUGUGACGAAGCGUGAGUGACGGUAAUAGGUAAAGAAGCACCGGCUAACUACGUG